AGCUGUUUUGGAAGCAGCCCUGUUGGAAGUGGGAGGGGUGAUGUAACCCCAGCAAAGUUUUGAAAUAGAGCAAAAUCCCAGGAAGGGCCCUGAGCUGGGAUUGGCUGAGAGGCGCGGAUAAAAGGGGGAGCAGUUUUUCCCAUGUGGGUGGGGGGAGGACAAGAGAGAGAGAGAGGGGCUGAGGGACAGGCUGGAGACCGGAUUCAGUCUCAGCACAGUGGUCCCUCGGAGAGCCCCUAAGAGAGGCCUGCAGGAGUAGCAGUGGAGAAGCUGCGGCGGCAGGAUCAGGCUGGGACUGCUUGUGCGGAGAAUCCAAACCUGGAGAGACCUGACUGCAGCCGGUGUGGCUGGGUGAGCACAGCAGAGCUGGUGGGGGGGACUGCCAGAGUCUGCCCUAGUUUCCCUGAUGGGUGAGGGGCCCCAGGGGUAGGCAAAGCCCAGGGAGGAGCCGGGGCUGAGAGGCUGUGUGGGGCAGGAGGGUUUCAACAGCCUGCAGCCCAGACACUGCUCCCAGCAGAGCCAGGGAAGGGGGCCAAAGGCAGGGAAAGGCUGUCUUGUAGGAACUGCAGAGGAGUCGCUGCUUGCUGCCCGGAGACCCCAGGAGCACGGAGACGGACACCAGUGCCAGGGAGCAUCCACAGACCACGUGCAGGGACACAGACAGUCUCACUCCCUGAGAUACCCCACCAGGGGCAGUGCACACGGGAUCCCCAGUACACAGGUUGCAAGGUAGAAGACAGGAGACAACCCAAACCUUCAUCCCAUAUUUUUAACCCACAAAAGAAGUAUCAGUAUAUCUGUGCAGUGGAAAAGCAUCCAGAUGGCAGUAGUAAAAGAUGGGAAAUUAAUUGAACUGGAAGAGUCAACCACCUGACCGCAUCCCAAAAAUGGAUAAUUAAGCAAAGUUAUAUUUUUUUAAAUUCUUUCUAAAAAGAUAGACAAUAUUGUUAGUAGGAAAAAUAAACUUAACAGAAUUCAUUUUAAAAAGGUGAGGGGGGAGAGUUAUUUAGAGUACAGGCUUGCAGACAAUACAGUGAUUUGUAAUCAUCUAUUAAGAUAAUGGGAGAUUUUAGGUUAAUUUAGUGCAACACUGCUUGCUUUUAAGGAAGAAAUCUGGUCAGCAAUAGUUUUGUAGCAGAAAGCCCCUUUUCCUCUUGCCUGCAGUUGCUCUCCCCUCCUUGGAUAUGUUUUUCCUCUUCUAUCUUUUCUUCCUUCCUCUUCCUUUAACUUUAAGAUAAGGAAUUGUGUUUUGAAAUUUGUAUAUGUGCAUUUUGUAUCUCCCCUUGUAUUUUGGUAUUUUUAUCUAUUUGUGUGCCAUGGCAUUACUUUUGUAGCUUAUAUUUUAUACUCCUCACCUUUCAACUUUCAACUAAAUGUGUUUAGUUUCAUAAGUAAUUUAUACAUUGUAACAAUGUUAACAAGGGCAGGAAUCAAACUGCCCUUCCCUGUAUCAGGCUGGCCCCUGAAAGAGCGAGUGAAUCAGUGAUUGAAUGUGUAACACAGUAGCAGGCAGCAAUUAACACCUAAGGAAACUGCAGAUCAACCAACAGAAGAACUCAAUAGAAGACAAUGUAACAACCGGGAAAUUUCUAAACUCACUGAUCAAGGGCUAGAAGCCCUGGCCUGAGUUAAUCAACACCGGGGACCAACUUUUGGGCUGAAUAUCUCCAGAUCGACCGUUCCCAGAGCCCUAUUCAAAAUUCAUCAAUGGACUCCCAAACCUGCAUGUACAUGCAUACGACCCCUGGGGCUGACAGAUGCCAUCCAGUAGCCACCGAGAGGGGAAGUCCCACGAGGGUCAACAACCCCUGGAUUGGGCAAACCUAAAAAAUGGGGAAGUCACCAAAGUCUGCCAAGGACAGAUAAAAAGCAGUGAAAAGUGACCCUCAGUAGCGCCCUCUUGAUCUCCAACUUGACCAGCACCCGACCUGUCCAACCAGAAGGACCAGCUGGCGACCCCCUUCUGGAAGAUAACACCAUGCUGAAAGAAGCCUCAACGGCAGACUCCAGUGCCUGUGGGAUAGGUAUACCUGACUCUUGUAGCUUGCUACUGUGUGUGUACAUGUGUGUGCAUGUGGGGACCAACCCCAAGGUUUAUGAUUUAACUUCAUUGCAGUGCUUCAAUCCGCCUAAUAAACUAGAAUUUUAAGGA
Molecule: long non-coding RNA, 2152 nt
Organism: Alligator mississippiensis (American alligator)
Lineage: Eukaryota; Metazoa; Chordata; Crocodylia; Alligatoridae
Exons: 2
Source: RefSeq, a predicted model, not a curated record